RNAcentral lists this small nuclear RNA (121 nucleotides) under Corchorus capsularis. RNAcentral describes it as "snRNA U2". Lineage: Eukaryota; Viridiplantae; Streptophyta; Magnoliopsida; Malvales; Malvaceae. The record is from RNAcentral.
UUUCUUUCUCGGCCUGUUGGCCAAGAUAAAGUGCAGGAUCUUUUCUUAUCAGUUUAAUAAAUAAGUGACCAACCCCCAAAUUUUACUCUGAAAAAAAAAAAAUUUAAGGCAACAAACAUUU